AAAGAUUAAGCCAUGCAUGUCUAAGUAUAAGCAAUUAUACGGCGAAACUGCGAAUGGCUCAUUAUAUAAGUUAUCGUUUAUUUGAUAGCACUUUACUACUUGGAUAACCGUGGUAAUUCUAGAGCUAAUACAUGCUAAAAAUCCCGACUUCGGAAGGGAUGUAUUUAUUAGAUUAAAAGCCAAUGCCCUCUGGGCUCUCUGGUGAAUCAUGAUAACUGCUCGAAUCGCAGGGCCUCGUGCCGGCGAUGGUUCAUUCAAAUUUCUUCCCUAUCAACUUUCGAUGUUUGGGUAUUGGCCAAACAUGGUUACAACGGGUAACGGAGGGUUAGGGCUCGACCCCGGAGAAGGAGCCUGAGAAACGGCUACUACAUCCAAGGAAGGCAGCAGGCGCGCAAAUUACCCAAUCCCGACACGGGGAGGUAGUGACAAUAAAUACUGAUACAGGGCUCUUUCGGGUCUUGUAAUUGGAAUGAGUACAAUUUAAAUCCCUUAACAAGGAACAAUUGGAGGGCAAGUCUGGUGCCAGCAGCCGCGGUAAUUCCAGCUCCAAUAGCGUAUAUUAAAGUUGUUGUGGUUAAAAAGCUCGUAGUUGACCCUUGGGCCUGGCUGGCCGGUCCGCCUCACCGCGUGUACUGGUCCGGCCGGGCCUUUCCCUCUGUGGAACCCCAUGCCCUUCACUGGGCGUGGCGGGGAAACAGGACUUUUACUUUGAAAAAAUUAGAGUGCUCCAGGCAGGCCUAUGCUCGAAUACAUUAGCAUGGAAUAAUAGAAUAGGACGUGCGGUUCUAUUUUGUUGGUUUCUAGGACCGCCGUAAUGAUUAAUAGGGACAGUCGGGGGCAUCAGUAUUCAAUUGUCAGAGGUGAAAUUCUUGGAUCUAUUGAAGACUAACUACUGCGAAAGCAUUUGCCAAGGAUGUUUUCAUUAAUCAAGAACGAAAGUUAGGGGAUCGAAGACGAUCAGAUACCGUCGUAGUCCUGACCGUAAACUAUGCCGACUAGGGAUCGGACGAUGUUAUUUUUUGACUCGUUCGGCACCUUACGAGAAAUCAAAGUGCUUGGGCUCCAGGGGGAGUAUGGUCGCAAGGCUGAAACUUAAAGAAAUUGACGGAAGGGCACCACCAGGGGUGGAACCUGCGGCUUAAUUUGACUCAACACGGGGAAACUCACCAGGUCGACUUCGUCUGGGCCUGGAAAAGUCGGGCGCCGGCCACAACGGGCAGGCGCUGCGGCUAGUAUCGAACUUCACUCCGCGUGGGGAAGCCCCCUCGUCGGGCGCGGAGGCGGCAGCCGUCGAGGUCGCCGUUGUUCGAUGCGACACCAGCUGGUACAGGGGACGCCAAACCGCUCAGCAGGCCGCUGAGCGGUAGGCCAAUCCUGUGGCGAGCUCGGGUUGCGCCGAGCCGCUGCAACGCGCGCUAAGCGGUGGGCUGGGGGAGCGUUCAGGCUCUCCUGGCUUAAGGUACGUGCUAAUCCCGCAGGGAACUGCGGCCCCUCCGAACAGGUCCGACUUCACCGAAGCGGAGGGGGCGGUGCGUCGAGCGAAAGCCCGGCGUGCCGUGCUGUGAUGAUGCCAGACACAAUGAGGAUUGACAGAUUGAGAGCUCUUUCUUGAUUUUGUGGGUGGUGGUGCAUGGCCGUUCUUAGUUGGUGGAGUGAUUUGUCUGCUUAAUUGCGAUAACGAACGAGACCUUAACCUGCUAAAUAGCCCGUAUUGCUUUGGCAGUACGCCGGCUUCUUAGAGGGACUAUCGGCUCAAGCCGAUGGAAGUUUGAGGCAAUAACAGGUCUGUGAUGCCCUUAGAUGUCCUGGGCCGCACGCGCGUUACACUGACGGAGCCAGCGAGUACUCCCUUGGCCGGAAGGCCCGGGUAAUCUUGUUAAACUCCGUCGUGCUGGGGAUAGAGCAUUGCAAUUAUUGC
This 1918-nucleotide ribosomal RNA is filed under the name Paecilomyces sp. 97014. RNAcentral's name for it is "partial 18S rRNA". It matches the Rfam family "Eukaryotic small subunit ribosomal RNA", at positions 39 to 1596 of the family's 1831-position model. The record is from RNAcentral. Lineage: Eukaryota; Fungi; Ascomycota; Eurotiomycetes; Eurotiales; Thermoascaceae.